This 459-nucleotide ribosomal RNA is filed under the name uncultured bacterium. RNAcentral's name for it is "partial 16S ribosomal RNA". It matches the Rfam family "Bacterial small subunit ribosomal RNA", at positions 338 to 795 of the family's 1533-position model. The record is from RNAcentral.
CCUACGGGCUGCAGCAGUGAGGAAUAUUGGUCAAUGGUCGGGAGACUGAACCAGCCAAGCCGCGUGAGGGAUUAAGGUACAGCGUAUCGUAAACCUCUUUUGUCAGGGAACAAGGGCCGGGACGCGUCCCCGGCUGCUUGUACCUUACGAACAAGCAUCGGCUAACUCCGUGACCGCAGCCGCGGUAAUACGGAGGAUGCGCGCGUUAUCCGGAUUUAUGGGGUUUUAAGGGUGCGCAGGGGGUCUUUUAAGUCAGCGGUAAAAGCCCGGGGCUCAACCCCGGCCCGCCGUUGACACUGGGAGCAUCGAGUGGGAGAGAAGAAGGCGGAAUGCGCGGUGUAGCGGGGAAAUGCAUAGAUAGCGCGCAGAACUCCGAUUGCGAAGGCAGCAUGCCGGCUCCAGACUGACGCUGAGGCACGAAAGCGGGGGUAUCGAACAGGAUUAGAUACCCCAGUAGUC